Molecule: ribosomal RNA, 473 nt
Filed under: uncultured bacterium
Lineage: Bacteria
Description: bacterial SSU rRNA
Rfam family: Bacterial small subunit ribosomal RNA
Source: RNAcentral
UAGGGAAUUUUGGGCAAUGGGCGAAAGCCUGACCCAGCAACGCCGCGUGUGGGAUGAAGGCCCUCGGGUCGUAAACCACUGUCAGGAGGAAAGAAAAGUCGGCCGGAUAAUACUCGGUCGACCUGACGGUACCUCCAAAGGAAGCACCGGCUAACUCCGUGCCAGCAGCCGCGGUAAUACGGAGGGUGCAAGCGUUGUUCGGAAUUACUGGGCGUAAAGCGCGUGUAGGUGGUCGAGUAAGUCGAAUGUGAAAGCCCCGGGCUCAACCCGGGAAGUGCAUCCGAAACUGCUCGACUAGAGUCCCGGAGAGGAAGGCAGAAUUCCCAAUGUAGGGGUGAAAUCCGUAGAUAUUGGGAGGAAUACCGGUGGCGAAGGCGGCCUUCUGGACGGUGACUGACACUCAGACGCGAAAGCGUGGGGAGCAAACAGGAUUAGAUACCCUGGUAGUCCCUGAGCGGGCUGGCAAGGCGCAU